Molecule: ribosomal RNA, 332 nt
Filed under: uncultured eukaryote
Lineage: Eukaryota
Description: partial 18S ribosomal RNA
Rfam family: Eukaryotic small subunit ribosomal RNA
Source: RNAcentral
CCCUUAGAUGUCCUGGGCUGCACGCGCGCUACACUGGAAGUUACGGAUUGAGAUACUACCUUGUCCGAAAUGGUCCGGGUAAUCACCUAAAAGCUUGUCAUAAUUGGAAUGGAUUAUUGUAACUAGUAAUCCUGAACGAGGAAUUCCUAGUAAGUCCCAGUCAACAGCUGGUACUGAUUACGUCCCUGCCCUUUGUACACACCGCCCGUCGCUACUACUGAUUGGACGUUUAAGCAAGAUUUUUAAACACUGACAGUGUGUAGUUCACGCUAUACUACAGUGAGAAGAAGAAGAUCGAGCUUACUUGUCUAGAGGAAGUAAAAGGCGUAACA